CAGGUCUUGACAUCCUCUGACACUCCUAGAGAUAGGACGUUUCCCUUCGGGGGACAGAGUGACAGGUGGUGCAUGGUUGUCGUCAGCUCGUGUCGUGAGAUGUUGGGUUAAGUCCCGCAACGAGCGCAACCCUUGAUCUUAGUUGCCAGCAUUCAGUUGGGCACUCUAAGGUGACUGCCGGUGACAAACCGGAGGAAGGUGGGGAUGACGUCAAAUCAUCAUGCCCCUUAUGACCUGGGCUACACACGUGCUACAAUGGAUGGUACAAAGGGCUGCAAAACCGCGAGGUCGAGCCAAUCCCAUAAAACCAUUCUCAGUUCGGAUUGUAGGCUGCAACUCGCCUACAUGAAGCUGGAAUCGCUAGUAAUCGUGGAUCAGCAUGCCACGGUGAAUACGUUCCC
This 401-nucleotide ribosomal RNA is filed under the name uncultured soil bacterium. RNAcentral's name for it is "bacterial SSU rRNA". It matches the Rfam family "Bacterial small subunit ribosomal RNA", at positions 975 to 1375 of the family's 1533-position model. The record is from RNAcentral.